This 301-nucleotide ribosomal RNA is filed under the name uncultured bacterium. RNAcentral describes it as "partial 16S ribosomal RNA". It matches the Rfam family "Bacterial small subunit ribosomal RNA", at positions 509 to 808 of the family's 1533-position model. The record is from RNAcentral.
CAGCCGCCACGGGAAUACGGAGGGUGCAAGCGUUAAUCGGAAUUACUGGGCGUAAAGCGCACGCAGGCGGUCUGUCAAGUCAGAUGUGAAAUCCCCGGGCUUAACCUGGGAACUGCAUUUGAAACUGGCAGGCUAGAGUCUUGUAGAGGGGGGUAGAAUUCCAGGUGUAGCGGUGAAAUGCGUAGAGAUCUGGAGGAAUACCGGUGGCGAAGGCGGCCCCUGGACAAAGACUGACGCUCAGGUGCGAAAGCGUGGGGAGCAAACAGGAUUAGAUACCCCGGUAGUCCCUGUCUCUUAUACA